Small nuclear RNA from Trichosurus vulpecula (common brushtail), 141 nucleotides. RefSeq annotates it as U4 spliceosomal RNA. The transcript has a single exon. The record is from RefSeq and is a predicted model, not a curated record. NCBI's taxonomy places the organism in Eukaryota, Metazoa, Chordata, Mammalia, Diprotodontia, Phalangeridae.
AGCUUUGCACAAUGGUAAUAUUGUGGUCAAUGAGGUUUAUCCAAGGUGAGAUUAUGGCUGAUCGAAAACUUUUCUCAGUACACCACCAUGACAGUUUGAAAUAUAGUUGGCAUUGGCAAUUUUUGACAGUUUCUACAGAGA